Molecule: ribosomal RNA, 253 nt
Filed under: uncultured bacterium
Lineage: Bacteria
Description: partial 16S ribosomal RNA
Rfam family: Bacterial small subunit ribosomal RNA
Source: RNAcentral
UACGUAGGGUGCAAGCGUUGUCCGGAAUCACUGGGCGUAAAGGGUGCGUAGGCGGGUCUUUAAGUCAGGGGUGAAAUCCUGGAGCUCAACUCCAGAACUGCCUUUGAUACUGAAGAUCUUGAGUCCGGGAGAGGUGAGUGGAACUGCGAGUGUAGAGGUGAAAUUCGUAGAUAUUCGCAAGAACACCAGUGGCGAAGGCGGCUCACUGGCCCGGUACUGACGCUGAGGCACGAAAGCGUGGGGAGCAAACAGG